This 448-nucleotide ribosomal RNA is filed under the name uncultured bacterium. RNAcentral's name for it is "bacterial SSU rRNA". It matches the Rfam family "Bacterial small subunit ribosomal RNA", at positions 29 to 524 of the family's 1533-position model. The record is from RNAcentral.
AACGAACGCUGGCGGCAGGCCUAACACAUGCAAGUCGAGCGCCCCGCAAGGGGAGCGGCGGACGGGUGAGUAACGCGUGGGAAUUUUCCUCAAGGUACGGAACAACUCAGGGAAACUUGGGCUAAUACCGUAUGAUGUCUAGCGACCAAAGAUUUAUCGCCUUGGGAUAAGCCCGCGUCAGAUUAGGUAGUUGGUGGGGUAACGGCCUACCAAGCCUGCGAUCUGUAGCUGGUCUGAGAGGACGAUCAGCCACACUGGGACUGAGACACGGCCCAGACUCCUACGGGAGGCAGCAGUGGGGAAUCUUGCGCAAUGGGCGAAAGCCUGACGCAGCCAUGCCGCGUGAAUGAUGAAGGUCUUAGGAUUGUAAAGUUCUUUCGCCCGUGACGAUGAUGACGGUAACGGGAGAAGAAGCCCCGGCUAACUUCGUGCCAGCCGCCGCUGUAAG